AGAGUUUGAUCAUGGCUCAGGACGAACGCUUGCGGCGUGCCUAAGAAAUGCAAGUCGAGCGGGAGAAGGACUUCGGUCUGGAUCUAGCGGCGAACGGUCGCGUAACACGUAGGCAACCUGCCCCAAAGCCCGGGAUAACGGGGGGAAACUUCCGCUAAUACCGGAUGUGGUCACUCUCUCGCAUGGGAGGGUGAGUAAAUCAAGCAAUUGGCUUUGGGAGGGGCCUGCGGCCUAUCAGCUAGAUGGUGUGGUAACGGCGCACCAUGGCGACGACGGGUAGCUGGUCUGAGAGGAUGGUCAGCCGGACUGGGACUGAGACACGGCCCAGACUCCUACGGGGGGCAGCAAUUAGGAAUCUUGCGCAAUGGGCGAAAGCCUGACGCAGCGACGCCGCGUGGAGGAGGACGGCCUUCGGGUUGUAAACUCCUUUUGUCAAGGAAGAAGGAUGUGACGGUACUUGACGAAUAAGCCCCGGCUAACUCCGUGCCAGCAGCCGCGGUAAUACGGAGGGGGCGAGCGUUGUCCGAAGUUACUGGGCGUAAAGCGCGCGUAGGCGGGGGGGAAAGUCCGCUGUGAAAGCCCGAGGCUCAACCUCGGCGGGUCGGUGGAUACUUCCUCUCUUGAAGGUGCUAGGGGGAGAUGGAAUUACCGGUGUAGCGGUGAAAUGCGUAGAUAUCGGUAGGAACACCAGUGGCGAAGGCGGUCUCCUGGGGCAUUCUUGACGCUGAGGCGCGAAAGCUGGGGGAGCGAACGGGAUUAGAUACCCCGGUAGUCCCAGCCCUAAACGAUGGAUACUAGGUGUCGGGGGUAUCGACCCCCCCGGUGCCGCCUCUAACGCAGUAAGUAU
Molecule: ribosomal RNA, 847 nt
Filed under: uncultured Armatimonadota bacterium
Lineage: Bacteria; Bacillati; Armatimonadota
Description: bacterial SSU rRNA
Rfam family: Bacterial small subunit ribosomal RNA
Source: RNAcentral